RNAcentral lists this unclassified non-coding RNA (498 nucleotides) under uncultured Archaeospora. RNAcentral describes it as "SSU rRNA". It matches the Rfam family "Eukaryotic small subunit ribosomal RNA", at positions 591 to 1092 of the family's 1831-position model. The record is from RNAcentral. Lineage: Eukaryota; Fungi; Glomeromycota; Glomeromycetes; Archaeosporales; Archaeosporaceae.
CCAAUAGCGUAUAUUAAAGUUGUUGCAGUUAAAAAGCUCGUAGUUGAAUUUUGGAUUCUACCAAUCGGUCCAUCUUUUGAUGAGUACUGGUUGUGUGGGGUCUAUCCGCCUGGUAAUACGUAAUGUCCUUUAUUGGAUGUUGCGGGUAGUCAGGACCUUUACCUUGAAAAAAUUAGAGUGUUUAAAGCAGGCUUAUGCCGGAAUACAUUAGCAUGGAAUAAUAGAAUAGGACGAAGUUGUUUUAUUUUGUUGGUUUCUAGGACAACCGUAAUGAUUAAUAGGGAUAGUUGGGGGAAUUAGUAUUCAAUUGUCAGAGGUGAAAUUCUUGGAUUUAUUGAAGACUAACUAUUGCGAAAGCAUUUGCCAAGGAUGUUUUCAUUAAUCAAGAACGAAAGUUAGGGGAUCGAAGACGAUCAGAUACCGUCGUAGUCUUAACCAUAAACUAUGCCGACUAGGGAUCGGGCGAUGUUGUUUCAAUGACUCGCUCGGCACCUUAUG